UUCCUACGGGACGCAGCAGUGGGGAAUAUUGCACGAUGGGGGAAACCCUGAUGCAGCGACGCCGCGUGAGCGAAGAAGUAUCUCGGUAUGUAAAGCUCUAUCAGCAGGGAAGAAAAUGACGGUACCUGACUAAGAAGCCCCGGCUAACUACGUGCCAGCAGCCGCGGUAAUACGUAGGGGGCAAGCGUUAUCCGGAUUUACUGGGUGUAAAGGGAGCGCAGGCGGCGCGGUAAGUCUGAUGUGAAAGCCCGGGGCUCAACCCCGGGACU
Molecule: ribosomal RNA, 269 nt
Filed under: uncultured bacterium
Lineage: Bacteria
Description: partial 16S ribosomal RNA
Rfam family: Bacterial small subunit ribosomal RNA
Source: RNAcentral